GGGGUUGUGGCUCAGUGGCAGAGUGCUCGCCUAGCACGUGUGAGGCCCUGGGUUCAAUCCUCAGCAAUACUU
RNAcentral lists this transfer RNA (72 nucleotides) under Ictidomys tridecemlineatus (thirteen-lined ground squirrel). RNAcentral's name for it is "Spermophilus tridecemlineatus (thirteen-lined ground squirrel) tRNA". It matches the Rfam family "tRNA". From Rfam's summary of the family: Transfer RNA (tRNA) molecules are approximately 80 nucleotides in length. Their secondary structure includes four short double-helical elements and three loops (D, anti-codon, and T loops). Lineage: Eukaryota; Metazoa; Chordata; Mammalia; Rodentia; Sciuridae. The record is from Rfam by way of RNAcentral.